This 208-nucleotide ribosomal RNA is filed under the name uncultured bacterium. RNAcentral's name for it is "partial 16S ribosomal RNA". It matches the Rfam family "Bacterial small subunit ribosomal RNA", at positions 568 to 775 of the family's 1533-position model. The record is from RNAcentral.
CGUGUAGGCGGGAAGGAAAGUCAGAUGUGAAAUCCCCAGGCUCAACCUGGGAACUGCAUUUGAAACUCCCUUUCUUGAGUAUCGGAGAGGAAAGCGGAAUUCCUGGUGUAGAGGUGAAAUUCGUAGAUAUCAGGAGGAACACCAGCGGCGAAGGCGGCUUUCUGGACGGUAACUGACGCUGAGACGCGAAAGCGUGGGGAGCAAACAG